AAGGCUACCCCUUCUGCAGGUUUUAUAUGGUCCAGAUUGUGUAUAGUUAAAAUGUCGAUUCAUAUUCCUAAUUGGAGCAGGCUUAGAACAUUUUUCUUGAUCAGGGUCUAGUCCCACCUUCUCCAAACAACUAGCAAGAAUCCAAAGAAUUGACUAAUAUAUAGAAAA
Long non-coding RNA from Asparagus officinalis (garden asparagus), 168 nucleotides. RefSeq lists it as uncharacterized. The record is from RefSeq and is a predicted model, not a curated record. The transcript has 2 exons. NCBI's taxonomy places the organism in Eukaryota, Viridiplantae, Streptophyta, Magnoliopsida, Asparagales, Asparagaceae.